GACGAACGCUGGCGGCGUGCUUAACACAUGCAAGUCGAACGGAAAGGCCCUGCUUUCGUGGGACGCUCGAGUGGAGCACGGGUGAGUAACAUGUGAGUAAUCUGCUCUUGUUUUGGGUUAACCUACGGAAACUGGGGCCAUAAACGGUAAGGGCCAUCUGUUGCAUGGUGGGGGGUGGGAAGUUUCGGCGGCUGGGGAGGGAAUCGCCGCUUCUCCGCUUGUUGGUGGGGUAGUGGCUUACCAAGGCUUUGGCGGGUAGCCGGCCGGAGAGGGUGACCGGCCACGUGGGGACUAAGAUACGGCCCGAACUCCAACGGGGGGCAGCAGUGGGGAAAAUUGCACAAGGGCCUGAGGCCGGAUGCAGCAAGGCCGCGGGGGGAAGAAGGGCCUUCGGUUGGUAACCCGCUUUCGCCUGUGACGAAGCUUUAGUGACGGUAACGGGUAAAGAAGCACCGGCUAACUACGUG
Molecule: ribosomal RNA, 467 nt
Filed under: uncultured bacterium
Lineage: Bacteria
Description: partial 16S ribosomal RNA
Rfam family: Bacterial small subunit ribosomal RNA
Source: RNAcentral